RNAcentral lists this long non-coding RNA (1177 nucleotides) under Zonotrichia albicollis (white-throated sparrow). RNAcentral describes it as "lncRNA (ENSZALG00000006037.1)". The record is from RNAcentral. Lineage: Eukaryota; Metazoa; Chordata; Aves; Passeriformes; Passerellidae.
CUUUUUUCUCUCAACAAACAUUUAUUCCUUUUAUUUUCCUUGACUCCUUUUCCUUUUUUCAGUUCCAGGAUCAAUGAAAUCCAGAAUCGAUAUCUCAACUAUUCCUGGAAGGUUGAAAAAGAAAUUUUUUAUCAAAUGUUAAAUUAUGCUAGAGCAAAAUACAAUAAGUGUAAUGGAGAAGCAACUGGUGGUUGUGUGUCAAAAUAAUUUUAUUAGAGUUCUGCAUAUGUGACAAUGAGAAGGUUGCCUUUAGACAACAGGGUUGUGAAUUAGAAAAAGAGCAUCUUUGAUAUUUUUGGGUAAUUUUGGCUCAAGAGUCAAAGAUCAGUAGAUUCAUCACUUCCUCUUGUGAGAAAAGGAUUUUGAGACCAGGAACUUCCAUCCAUCUGGAAUGGAGUGGUAGAAGAAAUGGAUGGACAGCAAAGAACAUAAGUGAAAGGAGAAAUUAAGUCAAAAGAAAAAAAUUAAUGAGAGAGGUCGAAGAAGAAUACCCAGAAGAAAAGCUAGCAGUAGUUCGUAGAUAAAGAACAUGCUCUGGACUAACUCUGACCACAGGUUUCAGUGAAGAAAAUCACUGGACAAGAGUAAACUACAGGUACAGGAAAAUGUGGUAGAAGGAGCAUAAAAUGGAAGAAAGUCAGAAACCUAAGGUGACCAGAGAGAUGAAAGCAAGCAAAGGAAACUUCUGGUCUUUUUUCUCUGUUAUGAGGAAUUAACUUAGACAAAACAGACCAAAGGGCCUGAAAAAAUCAGAACCUUAUGGAGUAACAGGAAGAAUUUCCCCUAUGAAGAUGGAUAAUCAGGGAGAAGGAUGGAGGAAGAAAUAGCCAAAUUACAUAAAGCUCUCAAAAAGCACAUACUCAAGUUAAAAUCAAGCAGAUACUUCAGUGCUUUGCUUAAUCAGAAUCCAAAUCUCUCAGAAGGAGCAUGCAGGUACUGUUCUGGUUUGUAGAGCUACUAACAGAUGUUGGCACCAUAGCUGGCUGGUCAAGCCAGUGACUAUGGAUGAAGUCUCUAUCAGUAUGGUUUCAAGAAUUCCUCUGAUUUCUAGGCAGGAGUAAAAAAUUUUAAGUAUUCUCAUGAGUUAGAAAAAUCAAAGUAAAUGUGGCAUUAGAUUGUGGCAUGGACAAUGUAUUUUUGGUUCAAAAUAUAUGCAUGCACGUUCAACAAGAAUAAG